Molecule: ribosomal RNA, 827 nt
Filed under: uncultured bacterium
Lineage: Bacteria
Description: bacterial SSU rRNA
Rfam family: Bacterial small subunit ribosomal RNA
Source: RNAcentral
AAGGGUUUGAUCCUGGCUCAGAUUGAACGCUGGCGGCAGGCCUAACACAUGCAAGUCGAGCGGAUGAAGGGAGCUUGCUCCUGGAUUCAGCGGCGGACGGGUGAGUAAUGCCUAGGAAUCUGCCUGGUAGUGGGGGAUAACGUCCGGAAACGGGCGCUGAUACCGCAUACGUCCUGAGGGAGAAAGUGGGGGAUCUUCGGACCUCACGCUAUCAGAUGAGCCUAGGUCGGAUUAGCUAGUUGGUGGGGUAAAGGCCUACCAAGGCGACGAUCAGUAACUGGUCUGAGAGGAUGAUCAGUCACACUGGAACUGAGACACGGUCCAGACUCCUACGGGAGGCAGCAGUGGGGAAUAUUGGACAAUGGGCGAAAGCCUGAUCCAGCCAUGCCGCGUGUGUGAAGAAGGUCUUCGGAUUGUAAAGCACUUUAAGUUGGGAGGAAGGGCAGUAAGUUAAUACCUUGCUGUUUUGACGUUACCAACAGAAUAAGCACCGGCUAACUUCGUGCCAGCAGCCGCGGUAAUACGAAGGGUGCAAGCGUUAAUCGGAAUUACUGGGCGUAAAGCGCGCGUAGGUGGUUCAGCAAGUUGGAUGUGAAAUCCCCGGGCUCAACCUGGGAACUGCAUCCAAAACUACUGAGCUAGAGUACGGUAGAGGGUGGUGGAAUUUCCUGUGUAGCGGUGAAAUGCGUAGAUAUAGGAAGGAACACCAGUGGCGAAGGCGACCACCUGGACUGAUACUGACACUGAGGUGCGAAAGCGUGGGGAGCAAACAGGAUUAGAUACCCUGGUAGUCCACGCCGUAAACGAUGUCGACUAGCCGUUGGGAU